RNAcentral lists this ribosomal RNA (497 nucleotides) under uncultured bacterium. RNAcentral describes it as "partial 16S ribosomal RNA". It matches the Rfam family "Bacterial small subunit ribosomal RNA", at positions 28 to 507 of the family's 1533-position model. The record is from RNAcentral.
GAUGAACGCUGGCGGCGUGCCUAAUACAUGCGAGUCGAGCGAACGGACGAGAAGCUUGCUUCUCUGAUGUUGGCGGCGGACGGGUGAGUAACACGUGGAUAACCUACCUAUAAGACUGGGAUAACUUCGGGAAACCGUAGCUAAUACCGGAUAAUAUUUUGAACCGCAUGGUUCAAAAGUGAAAGACGGUCUUGCUGUCACUUAUAGAUGGAUCCGCGCUGCAUUAGCUAGUUGGUAAGGUAACGGCUUACCAAGGCAACGAUGCAUAGCCGACCUGAGAGGGUGAUCGGCCACACUGGAACUGAGACACGGUCCAGACUCCUACGGGAGGCAGCAGUAGGGAAUCUUCCGCAAUGGGCGAAAGCCUGACGGAGCAACGCCGCGUGAGUGAUGAAGGUCUUCGGAUCGUAAAACUCUGUUAUUAGGGAAGAACAUAUGUGUAAGUAACUGUGCACAUCUUGACGGUACCUAAUCAGAAAGCCACGGCUAACUACGUG